Marmota monax (woodchuck) is the source of this 7738-nucleotide RNA transcript. It is a transcript of the gene named SH3 domain binding protein 4, with no coding region annotated. The transcript has 6 exons. The record is from RefSeq and is a predicted model, not a curated record. Lineage: Eukaryota; Metazoa; Chordata; Mammalia; Rodentia; Sciuridae.
AGGAGCACGCAGGCCCCGCAGAGCCUGGCUUUGUAAAGAUGUGGGCAGCCUCUGGAGGGUUUUGUGCAGGGGAGUGGCAUGACCUCAGAGGACAGCUUUGAGCAAACAGAGGCCGCAAGGGAUGGAUGGCGGGAAGGAGAGGAAGAAGCACGCUGCCGAGUUGCCGUUGCGCAGCUUGGUUGCUUGAGACAGAAGCACCGUUGCUGCUCCAGGAAGCAGAGGAAGAGACAUGUGCCCUUAGUGGACCCCUGGCCCAGGGUUUCCAGAUGGCGGCCCAGCGGAUCCGAGCAGCCAAUUCCAGUGGCCUCCCUCGGUGCAAGUCGGAGGGGACCCUGAUCGACCUGAGUGAGGGGUUUUCGGAGACCAGCUUUAAUGAUGUCAAAGUGCCUUCUCCCAGUGCCUUGCUGGCCGAUACCCCCACCCCGUUUGGAAACGCAAAGGAAGUGAUCGCCAUCAAGGACUACUGCCCCACCAACUUCACCACCUUGAAGUUCUCCAAGGGCGACCACCUCUACGUCCUGGACACGUCGGGCGGGGAGUGGUGGUACGCACACAACACCACCGAGAUGGGCUACAUCCCCUCCUCCUACGUGCAGCCCUUGAACUACCGGAACUCCACCUUGAGCGACAGCGGCGUGAUAGACAAUCUUCCAGACAGCCCGGACGAGGUAGCCACGGAGCUGGAUCUGCUCGGGGGAUGGACAGACGACCAGAAGGGAUCCGGCAAAGUGCACAGUAAUAACCCUUUUUGGAGCGGGGUCCAGACAAACCCUUUCCUGAACGGGAACGUGCCGGGGAUGCCCGGCUUGGAUGAGCUGACUCCCAGAAGCACCGUGGACCUGCUGCUGUUUGAUACCGGAACUUCCUCGUUCACUGAAUCCAGCUCUGCGACCACCAACAGCACCGGCAACAUCUUCGACGAGCAGCCGGUCAAACGGGACAACCCCUUCUUUAGAAGCAAGCGAUCCUACAGCCUUUCGGAGCUCUCCGUCCUGCAAGCCAAGUCAGAUGCGCCCACCACGUCGAGUUUUUUCACGGGUUUGAAAUCCCCAGCUCCCGAGCAAUUUCAGAGCCGGGAGGACUUUAGGACUGCGUGGCUGAACCACCGGAAGCUGGCCCGGUCUUGCCACGACUUGGAUCUGCUCGGCCAGAGCCCAGGCUGGGGCCAGACACAAGCCGUGGAGACGAACAUUGUAUACAAGCUGGAUAGUUCUGGGGGCGCCGUGCAGCUCCCAGACACCAACAUCAGCAUCCACGUGCCCGAGGGCCACGUCGCCCCCGGGGAGACGCAGCAGAUCUCCAUGAGAGCCCUACUGGACCCCCCGCUGGAGCUCAACAGCGACAAGUCCAGCAGCAUCAGCCCCGUGCUGGAGGUCAAGCUCAGCAACCUGGAGGUGAACACCUUCCUCAUCUUGGAGAUGAAGGUUUCUGCUGAGGUGAAAAAUGACAUUUUUAGCAAAAGCACAGUAGGUCUCCAGUGUCUGAGGAGCGACUUGAAAGAAGGGCCAUAUCUGCCCAUCCCACUCACCUACAGCCAUGGGGACACCGUCCAGGUGCAGCUGGACAACCUGGAGCCCUGCAUGUACCUGGCCAUCGUGGCCCACGGCCCAAACAUUCUCUACCCUUCCACCGUGUGGGAUUUCAUCAAUAAGAAGGUCACCGUGGGUCUCUACGGUCCCAAACACAUCCACCCCUCCUUCAAGACGGUAGUGACCAUUUUCGGGCACGACUGCGCCCCCAAGAUGCUCCUGGUGAGCGAGGUCACACGGCAGGCCCCCGGCCCUGCCCCCGUGGCUCUGCAUCUGUGGGGAAAGCACCAGUUCCUCCUGUCCAGGCCCCAGGACCUCAAAGUCUGCAUGUUUUCCAACAUGAGCAACUACGAGGUCAAGGCCAGCGAGCAGGCCCGGGUGGUGAGAGGGUUCCAGGUGAAGCUGGGCAAGGUGAGCCGCCUCGUCUUCCCCAUCACCUGCCAGAGCCCCGGCGAGCUCUCGGACUUCACGCUGCGGGUGCAGGUGAAGGAUGACCAGGAGGCCAUCCUGACCCAGUUCUGCAUCCAGACGCCACAGCCUCCACCCAAGAGUGCCAUCAAGCCGUCCGGGCAGAGGCGGUUUCUCAAGAAGAACGAGGUGGGGAAGAUCAUCCUGUCCCCGUUUGCCGCCGCCACCACCAAGUACCCGACGUUUCAGGACCGGCCCGUGUCCAGCCUCAAGUUCGGCAAGCUGCUCAAGACGGUGGUGAGGCAGAGCAAGCACCACUACCUGCUGGAGUACAAGAAGGGGGACACGGUGGCUCUGCUGAGCGAGGAGCGCAUCCGGCUGAAGGGGCAGCUGUGGACCAAGGAGUGGUACAUAGGCUACUACCAGGGCAAGGUGGGCCUGGUGCACGCCAAGAACGUGCUGGUGGUCGGGAGGGCCAGGCCCAGCCUGCUCUCGGGCCCCGAGCUGAGCACCUCGGUGCUGCUGGAGCAGAUCCUGCGGCCCUGCAAGUUCCUCACCUACAUCUACGCCUCCGUGCGGACCCUGCUCAUGGAGAACAUCAGCAGCUGGCGCUCCUUCGCGGACGCCCUGGGCUACGGGAGCCUGCCGCUCACCUUCUUCUGCCGGGCGGAGCUGGACAGCGAGCCCGAGCGUGUGGCCUGUGUCCUGGAGAAGCUGAAGGAGGACUGUAGCAACCCCGAGAACAAAGACCGGAAGUCCUUCCAGAAGGAGCUCGUGAUGGCUUCCUUUGAUCUCCUGCGCUCUUCCCUCUCUUCUCCUUCCUGCGUUCCUGACCAGGAGCUGCUGGGUGGGGUGGCCAAAAGGUGAGAAGCAGAUGGACCAGGUAAGGACCGGAUGGAGUGGCCCAGGACACAUUAAUUAAUAACUUUAUAACUCCCUGUAGGGAGGGGCAAUUCCUGAGACAGGUUACCUUAGCAACAGUCGGAGCGGAGCAGGUUGUCUUGAUAGGGUGGAGGAAGGGCUCUGAAGGCAUUUCGAUCCCUCUCCAACUUCCCAGACUCGCUCAAAUUGGCCUCCUUGAUCUGACCGGACUCGGUCUACCUACCUCCGGCUGCCUGUCUAAUUCUGGCUUCCCUGGCACUGCUCUUUAUUUUCUUCAACAAGUGCAAGUUUUGUGUUGAAGAGUAGGAAGUUUUCUAGAAAGUUCUGUGUCUACUGCUCUUCCCACCAUGAUAUCACGUGUUUGGCUCAGCUGGAACUCACACUUUGGGAUGACAAGUUCUUGUUCUGUUUUUCACACACCCACACAUUUUUCUGCACUCCAAGUGCAAAUCAGCUCACACCCCAGGUGUAGAUCACCCCACUUGGGUGUGAUCAGCAGUCCUGGGUGCAUCGCCAUCACCUGCAGCCUCCAGUGAGCUGUCGUCCAGUGGCCCUGACACCUGAGCCCAGCAAGAGGUAGGAGUAGGGGCGGGUGGUUGCCUGGCAACGGCAGAGCUCCUGCCUUCCUGGGAGAGGAAAGACCUAGAGAAUCACCUCACUUUCAUUGUUGACUCUGAGCCUGGUUGGAACCUUUGAGCACAAAAAGGAGUUGAGAGUAGACUCCACACUGACGUCGGCCUAGCAGCCUGAACUACACCAACGCAGCCCUGUGCACUCCCUGGCCCACCUGAAUAAGAGCCACCAGGAGGAGCGUCAGAUGGCCCAGGCUCUCCAGCCUGCUGAUUUGGGUGCUCAUGGGCUCGGGAAUCAGCCUGUCAGCAAGCCUUCUUGGAUUCCUAGGAGCCCCAGCGUGUGAGGACAAGCUCAGGUCGCUGGACUCCUGGGCUGCCCAGUAAGAGGGAUUAGCAGGCCUCCAGCGCCUAGCAACAGUCCCGCCUCCAGCGCCUAGCAACAGACCCGCCUUCUGCACCUAGCAACAAUCCUGCCCUCUGCACCUAGCAACAGAGCCACCUCCGCUGCCUCAGGCUGUGCUUUGCAGUCCUCGGAAGAGACUUCAUCUCCUUAGCAGGAAGUCCCAGCAGGACAGCCUGUGCCCACCAGGGGGACGUCUGCCGCUCUUCCGCAGCUGUGAAUUGGGGAAUGGGCUGAUGUCUCCGUGGAGGCACCGUGUGGGCAGAGGCCUGGUUCCCUGUGGUUUGCGCUGGUCCUCCCCGGGCUGUGCAGAGGGCCUCCUGGGCACCUGCACACUCUGGAAGGCCUCUGUGAGCUCCAGGAGGGGUGUGGGCCCUGCCUCUGCCCCCUGGAUCCAGGUGGGCUCUGAGGCAGGCCUGGCUCCUUGCCUGGGGCAACAGCACUCCUGCAGGGGCACUCCCCACACAAGCUUAUUCCUAGGCACCCAGGCUAAAAAGACUUCUAGACAUUUCCUUGGCCAAUAGAGUCCUGACACUUUAGAGAUUUUUCCUCAUUUGAUCUUGACAAUGUGGUAUGAAGUAGGCACAUUUACUAUCCUCAUUUUACAGAUCAGGAAGGGAAGCACAGAGAGGCUAAGAACUUUCCCAAGCUCACACAGCUAGCAAGUGUGAUUGACAUCCACUAUCAGGCAGCCUGGCUCCCAGGUCUUUGCUGUGCCCCUUUCCUACCCUACCCAGGUGAUGCUUUCUGUGAGUCAGAAACCCCAGCAUGACAAGGAAAUGGUGACUUGCAUAAUUAAAAAUGGCAAAUAUAAAAAAUCAUAAUAUUGGACUUUGGAUGUUUUAGUGAAGGUAGGUAGAGCAGGGUUUGCCAAAGUCUAGUGGUUUUAAUUCCCUUUCGCCAAGCAGAGCAGUUGGUUGGAAUUCUCUCUGACACCCCAGGGGCUGCAUGGAGUUGGGACAGAGUCCUAGAGAGCAACAGUAGUUUUAAAAUUUGUUACAACAUAAACAUCUGUCAAUCACAGGAUGAUCUAAUAAACAGCUGCAGCACAUAUGUACAGUGGGCACUUUUACACAAUGGAAUAGUACUACCAAGAGGGAGAAGCAGAUCCCGUCACCAUGUGCAGGGGUCUCCAAGUCAGCAGGGGAGAGAGCACACUGGGUACAGGAGUGUGGCACCCAUCAUCUCUCUGGCCCACGCAGUACUUCCAGAAUGAGAAGCUCGGUCCCGGGGCCCAGAGAUCAGGAUUUGAGGGGCCCAGUUUCUGUCGUGCUGUUUAGUCUCUUACUCUGAGCCAACAUCAUUUUCAACAUUCCAUAUUUUUUGCUACAGAUCAUAAUUUAUGAAAUGAGAGCAAUUGGGAACUGGCUGUAAGCACCCAAGGAACAGAACGAAUACCCCAAUUUGCAAAAUUAAAAAUCAAACAAGUACCUAAUUUACAUGCUGUUAAUCAACAAAGUGGGCAUAUGUAGUCAGAUAAUCAAAAUUGAUUGUGUGUGUUUAGAGCAAGAUUUUUUUUCCAGCCAGGGCCCACGGGGGGUUCUAGGAGUCUUUGAAACCCUCAGAAUGGUGCACAGAUAUUUUGUUAAUUUUGGCCUGAUUAGCUUAUAAGGAGGGUAUCCAAGGCUUUUAGUUAAUUCCUACACAGGUUCAUGAUGCAUAAAAGCUAACCACCAGCCAAGGUGCUGGGGAAAUGACCUUGAUAGAAAAAACUAGCAUUCCAAGCUUAGUUCUCGGGUGAGCCAGCAGCUACACCCAGUCAGGUGGGAGGCCACUGGUCCCUAGGUCAACGCUGGCUGCAUUGACAUGCUGCCCAUGGCUCCUAUGCAGUUCUUACUUGUGACACAUGGUCGCAUCAGGCUGCAGGACUGCGUUGGUGGGGUGCACCAGGACCCUCAUCCAGCCCUCUGUGGUGGAAGGGGCUUAUUCUUCACACCUGACAGGUGGUCCAUAGGAUCUGGCUUUGAUCCACACUUGAUGUGGCUACAGCACCCCUGGGCAUGGGGUCCACUUUACAGGUAGGAAGAAAGGCAAAGGUGGUGCGCACUGUGAUCCCAGCAGCUCAGGAGGCUGAAGGAUCUCAAGCUCAAAGCCAGCCUUAGCAAAAGGGAGGCCCUAAGCAACUUAACAAGACCCUGUCUCUAAAUAAAAUAUAAAAAGGGCUGGGGGUGUGGUUCAGUGGCUGAGUGCACUUGGGUUCAAUCCCUAAUACCCAAAAAGGAGGAGGAAGGAGGAAGGAGGAGAAAGAAGGAGGAGGAGGAGAGGAGUAAAGGUCGUGGAACUGCCAACCGAGUCUCUCUUUACAAGGGCAGCAGAAACCCUGCCUCCGUAGCACUGCCCAGAGUCCCCUGCACGUGGUCGGGCGGGACUGCAGCACGGGCAGCCCCCUGGUUACAGAAAGCCUGGGCUGGGUGUGGAGGGCCUCUGGUUGACUGAAAGUCACCCUAAACGGCAGAGACUCCUUUAGUGUGGAAGGACAGGGGCCAGCAGAGACUGUGGGCCCCGGGUUGAGUCUGUCCCUGUGGCUCGGGGGAGUGUGCCUGAGUCUGCCUUCUCCAGAGCUGGAGCAUGGAUCAGAGAAUCAACUGGGCCUAAAACUGGCCCAAUACCUGCAUUGUGAGAGUGCAGCCCGAGUUACCACCCCUGGCUGCACCCACGAUCCUGAAAUCCAGAAUGAGAGCCGUGACUUGAUGUUUCCCUCUUCAGGUCUCAUUCUGACACAGGCACAGGACAGCUGGGACUUCGUGAAGGAUCCUGAUGGAAGCAAAAUGCACUUUAAUAAAAAUGAGGUGCAAGAAAAGAAGAAAUGAAGUAACCAAGUGGGCCUGAGUCACUUCCACUGUGGGCGCGGACUGUCACAGCCUACCUCUGCUGUCAACAAGGCCUCUGAUCACUGUCCUCACUGUGAAGAAAACAGGUGUCUUUUCUCCGAGCCUUUCCGCCGGAAGCCACCAGGACACCGGGGAUGCAUUUCCCAGCUGCGGACACUGAGGCCUGGUGGCGGGCAGGGUAGGAGCAUGCUCGCCAGCUGGGCCGUUCGAAGGAGCAGUGGGCAGAGUCGGGGAGAGUCUGGGGCUGGGGGUCAACAGGCCUGCAAGGUAGGAGGAGUGCCCUCAUCACAGCCGCAGGUCUCCCUGAGCAUAGAACUCAAGUCUGAGAAGGCGAAACCCGCUUCUUAUUCCUGCCAUGCUGUCUGAGACGCCAAGGGACGGUGCCUCCCUCUGUGACACAGCUGGCCUCCUGGGUUCACCCGCUCCUGUCACCCCCUGCAAACAGCCCCAGGCCCCCGGGAACCUACAGGCUGACUUGUAUCUGUACAGCAUGAUGUUUCUCCAGAGGCCAAGAACUCACGAGUUCAUAGCAAAGCUCCAACAUAAAAGUAUAUAAUAUAUAUAUAUAUAUAUAUAUAUAUAUAUAUAUAAAAUAUAGAAGUAAAAGCUCUCUCCCCCUUGAACAGCCUCUGCCAUCUCUACAUGGACUCCAGAAGUAUUAAUUUGAAAACCUCAUAUUUUAAAGAGACACUACUGUAAAGGACAGCCUUUCCCUUCUUCCUCUUCUUCUCACAACAGAAUGGCCAUCCCAAGCAUGGCGGGCACUGUCUAGACCGCGUUUAGCGCACGGAGAAAGAAGUUAUUACCCACAGUCCAAGAAGAGGAAAAUUUCCUUAGUCUCCAAAAGGAGAAAGCUCUGAACACGUGAGCCCCCGCUCAGCUUCGGUUCGAAGUGCUCCAGGAUGGCUCUGGAUCACGCUGCUCUUUCCUGGUCACACAGAUGGCAUUUUUUACAUCAUACCAAGUAGCUUUGAUUUUUAUUUUCUAUCCACGCAAGGGAAAAACCAGGCAGUAUUUCGGAAGCUGUGAUUCUGGGAAUUGUGGGUCCUUUCUUUAAAGUUCUGAGACUAAAUUGAAAUCCAGGUUUCCUUAAAAUAAAUAUCCUUUGUUAUCACA